This 500-nucleotide ribosomal RNA is filed under the name uncultured Glomeromycotina. RNAcentral's name for it is "partial small subunit ribosomal RNA". It matches the Rfam family "Eukaryotic small subunit ribosomal RNA", at positions 591 to 1092 of the family's 1831-position model. The record is from RNAcentral. Lineage: Eukaryota; Fungi; Glomeromycota.
CCAAUAGCGUAUAUUAAAGUUGUUGCAGUUAAAAAGCUCGUAGUUGAAUUUCGGGAUCAAUAUGUCUGUCGUGCCUUCGGUACGUACGGGUAUAAUUGGUUUCUACCUUCUGAUGAACCUUGAUGCCAUUAAUUUGGUGUCUUGGGGACUCAGGACUGUUACCUUGAAAAAAUUAGAGUGUUUAAAGCAGGCAUACGCUUGAAUACAUUAGCAUGGAAUAAUGAAAUAGGACGUUCGAUUCUAUUUUGUUGGUUUCUAGGAUCGACGUAAUGAUUAAUAGGGAUAGUUUGGGGCAUUAGUAUUCAAUUGUCAGAGGUGAAAUUCUUGGAUUUAUUGAAGACUAACUACUGCGAAAGCAUUUGCCAAGGAUGUUUUCAUUAAUCAAGAACGAAAGUUAGGGGAUCGAAGACGAUCAGAUACCGUCGUAGUCUUAACCAUAAACUAUGCCGACUAGGGAUCGGAUGAUGUUAAUUCUUUAAUGACUCAUUCGGCGCCUUACG